CGCGUGAGAAUCUAGCUUCAGAAUGGGGACAACAGAGGGAAACCGCUGCUAAUACCCGAUGUGCCGAAAGGUGAAAGAUUUAUCGUCUGAAUAUGAGCUCGCGUCCGAUUAGCUAGUUGGUAGAGUAAGAGCCUACCAAGGCGACGAUCGGUAGCUGGUCUGAGAGGAUGACCAGCCACACUGGGACUGAGACACGGCCCAGACUCCUACGGGAGGCAGCAGUGGGGAAUUUUCCGCAAUGGGCGAAAGCCUGACGGAGCAAGACCGCGUGAGGGAGGAAGGCUCUUGGGUUGUAAACCUCUUUUCUCUGGGAAGAAGAUCUGACGGUACCAGAGGAAUCAGCAUCGGCUAACUCCGUGCCAGCAGCCGCGGUAAUACGGAGGAUGCAAGCGUUAUCCGGAAUUAUUGGGCGUAAAGCGUCCGUAGGUGGCAAUUCAAGUCUGCCGUUAAAACCAGUGGCUUAACCACUGACAGGCGGUGGAAACUGAAUAGCUAGAGUGUGGUAGGGGUAGAGGGAAUUCCCAGUGUAGCGGUGAAAUGCGUAGAGAUUGGGAAGAACACCGGUGGCGAAAGCGCUCUGCUGGACCACAACUGACACUCACAGGACGAAAGCUAUGGGAGCGAAAGGGAUAGAUACCCCC
This 641-nucleotide ribosomal RNA is filed under the name Phormidium sp. WUC1754. Its description in RNAcentral is "bacterial SSU rRNA". It matches the Rfam family "Bacterial small subunit ribosomal RNA", at positions 114 to 789 of the family's 1533-position model. Lineage: Bacteria; Bacillati; Cyanobacteriota; Cyanophyceae; Oscillatoriales; Oscillatoriaceae. The record is from RNAcentral.